RNAcentral lists this long non-coding RNA (1145 nucleotides) under Anas platyrhynchos platyrhynchos (common mallard). Its description in RNAcentral is "lncRNA (ENSAPLG00000023598.1)". The record is from RNAcentral. Lineage: Eukaryota; Metazoa; Chordata; Aves; Anseriformes; Anatidae.
CUUCAGUGUCUGUUUGGAGUGACUCAUAAUAGUCAUAAUCUGCUAAAAACAUAAUCUGUUUAAAAAAAAACAAAUAAAAUUUAGAAAAACUUGACUUUGGGCAUUUGGCCUUAGCUGUCUACAGUUCAUGGAUAAUCUUUCCUGUGUUACUUUAUAACUUUAAUCCCCACCUUUGCCCUCCAUAUAUUGUCUACAAGUAAAACAACAGCCUGUAAAAAGGCUGCCUUUUUAUUCAGAUUAAUAACAUCCUAAAUCAUGGUCCUCUUCUCAGCAUUUUAUUUCAGACUACAGGAUUCCAAAAACUUUUGUAACUAACACAUCAGGAACGGUAAUACCUGGAAACUCCCCUUACAGUUUGUCAAAGGUAAUUUUCUAUGCUCUGAGUGAAUCAACUCUUGUAAAUUAGGUAUUUCUCCACUUACAUCACAGUUCUCUGGCAGGUAUCUAUACCCAUUGGAAAUUAUGCAGAUUCUCAACUUUUCUUUGAACAAAAAUGUCCUGGAAUGGAAAAUUCACCAUUUUAUUUCCUUACAAUAGAACUAUGCUCGAAGGGAAACACCACCUGUUCCUAGCAGAUGGUAAAUUAGCAUUGAAAAAGAUCACCUGUACUGGAAACCCCCCCUAUUUUCUAAUUCUACCACCAGGAGGUAAAUCAGCACUGUAAGUCACAACGAGGUGCCACCCGACUUAGCACUUGCUGAUGUUUCAGUAGCAUCCCCAUAGCGCAUGCUGCUAAGCGUCCAUUCUCUUAUAGCAGUGCCUAUUCAUCACCCUUACAAGAAUUGUGCCAAGCCUGUGUCAUAGCAAAAUGGAUUUGGAGAAGGACUUGCAUCCUGCUAUGCUCUGACAUCUACCCAGUUCUAUGACUGUUUUGGGAACAGCUACACCUCAGGAAGUGUAAUGCAGCUGCGCAAUGGCUCUGUGAGUACAUGAUGAUGGACAACGCCAGGGGCUCAGCAUGUUCCUGCUCUGCACAGUAUCAGAUCAUUUGGCCUGCCAAACAGUCAUGUGCAUUGGAUAGGGCAGUAGUCCCCAGCCCCAGCUUCGUGUCACCUCACUCUACAUUUCUGCAGAAGAUUUAUUCAGAAGACACUGAAGAGUAACAUGCCUUCCAGUGGUCUAAAUAAAAAAAAGACUGCCUUGCA